RNAcentral lists this ribosomal RNA (497 nucleotides) under uncultured bacterium. Its description in RNAcentral is "partial 16S ribosomal RNA". It matches the Rfam family "Bacterial small subunit ribosomal RNA", at positions 28 to 507 of the family's 1533-position model. The record is from RNAcentral.
GAUGAACGCUGGCGGCGUGCCUAAUACAUGCAAGUCGAGCGAACAGACGAGGAGCUUGCUCUUCUGACGUUAGCGGCGGACGGGUGAGUAACACGUGGAUAACCUACCUAUAAGACUGGGAUAACUUCGGGAAACCGGAGCUAAUACCGGAUAAUAUAUUGAACCGCAUGGUUCAAUAGUGAAAGACGGUCUUGCUGUCACUUAUAGAUGGAUCCGCGCCGCAUUAGCUAGUUGGUAAGGUAACGGCUUACCAAGGCAACGAUGCGUAGCCGACCUGAGAGGGUGAUCGGCCACACUGGAACUGAGACACGGUCCAGACUCCUACGGGAGGCAGCAGUAGGGAAUCUUCCGCAAUGGGCGAAAGCCUGACGGAGCAACGCCGCGUGAGUGAUGAAGGUCUUCGGAUCGUAAAACUCUGUUAUUAGGGAAGAACAUAUGUGUAAGUAACUGUGCACGUCUUGACGGUACCUAAUCAGAAAGCCACGGCUAACUACGUG